Folsomia candida is the source of this 840-nucleotide long non-coding RNA. RefSeq lists it as uncharacterized. The transcript has 3 exons. Lineage: Eukaryota; Metazoa; Arthropoda; Collembola; Entomobryomorpha; Isotomidae. The record is from RefSeq and is a predicted model, not a curated record.
GCGGGUUGCAAAAUCUCAAAACGGGCAUUUGCUUAGAACCAGGCCAGAAGAAAAAGUUUAUACCAGCUUGUUCAACAUUUGUUUCUAGUUUCGUUGCGUCCAACUCGUACGUUGGGGGACCCUAAUUUUUUUAAUGUGGGUACCUCGAAACGAAAAACCAAGUUGUACUUGAGAGCAUUAGGAUCCAGAGAAAUAGGGGAUUCGAAGUCAACUGGAAUAAUUGUUGUAUUAUUGUUGGUUUGAGUCAUGUCAAUGGUCACAUUUUUGAACACUUGGGCCAGAGUUCGUGUUCGUAGGUCAUCUCCGUCGCUUAAGUCAAAAGGCUUCCAUUGCAUAUCUAGUCGAACUGAAAUUUUGUAUGACAACGAUUGCCCUACAAUUUUAAGUGUUAGCAUGACUUACGAGUUGACACAAUCUCCCUGAGAGUAUCUUGAAUGCAGCUGAAGGUUAUGAAGCAACUGUGUCACGGGUUCACGGCCAAUUUCUCCAGAAGCAGUAAUCAAUCCUCCUAAAUCUAUAAGUCUUGAAUCCAUCGACAAUAUUUGUCUCCCACGCCAAACUUCAAUUACAUUAGUUUUUUCGUCGUUCAUUGCUCACAAUUGACAGUGUUUCAGCCGAAAUAUUCAAGCCAAAACUGCUGCUAACUCAAAAUAUGUAUGUGUAGUUUCAAACAAUAAUGAUGUUUAUAUUUUUAUUGUAUCGUAUUAGUCAUGAGAAUUUUGUCUGCAAUAAACCACAAGAUGUGACGACGCCUCUAGAACCGCAAAUAAUACUGAUGACGCAACGUACAUUUCGCAAUAUCGUAGAGGAAAUGAAAUGUCCAUCUAAAUACACAGUCCA